UCUGCCAAUUCAGCCUGAACUUGAUCCAUACUUCUCUGUUGAUUCAGUCUUGUCGCGUAGCGGUGCGGACGAUGAUCAGCAAUCCUGCCUAGAACAGGAACCAGAGUGAGAUGUCUUGUUCAAUAACACUUGUAAUGCAAGAAUGAUAUGUGUAUGAUGUGUAUGUUGUUUAUCAUGAAUGAUCCUGCAAAGGAUAUACAUAUGCGGGUUAACUUUUUUCCUUUUUUAUGCAUUAUUUUUUUAUUUUAUUUUUUUUGAAAAUAAACAUGCUAUGAU
Molecule: long non-coding RNA, 276 nt
Filed under: Lathyrus oleraceus (garden pea)
Lineage: Eukaryota; Viridiplantae; Streptophyta; Magnoliopsida; Fabales; Fabaceae
Description: Pisum sativum (pea) long non-coding RNA (PSAT_LNC026527)
Source: RNAcentral